RNAcentral lists this transfer RNA (65 nucleotides) under Dipodomys ordii (Ord's kangaroo rat). It matches the Rfam family "tRNA". Rfam says of the family: Transfer RNA (tRNA) molecules are approximately 80 nucleotides in length. Lineage: Eukaryota; Metazoa; Chordata; Mammalia; Rodentia; Heteromyidae. The record is from Rfam by way of RNAcentral.
GGUGGCUCAGUGGCAGAGUGCUUGCCUUGCAUGCAUGAGGCCUUGGGUUCGAUUCCUCAGCACCA